AAGUAUUUAGUCUAAAAGACAAUUGAUUUCGACUCAAUUAAUUUUGGUUUCAACCCAAAAAUACUUU
Molecule: transfer RNA, 67 nt
Filed under: Bolitoglossa n. sp. RLM-2004
Lineage: Eukaryota; Metazoa; Chordata; Amphibia; Caudata; Plethodontidae
Description: tRNA-Arg
Rfam family: tRNA
About the family: Transfer RNA (tRNA) molecules are approximately 80 nucleotides in length. Their secondary structure includes four short double-helical elements and three loops (D, anti-codon, and T loops). Further hydrogen bonds mediate the characteristic L-shaped molecular structure. tRNAs have two regions of fundamental functional importance: the anti-codon, which is responsible for specific mRNA codon recognition, and the 3' end, to which the tRNAs corresponding amino acid is attached (by aminoacyl-tRNA synthetases). tRNAs cope with the degeneracy of the genetic code in two manners: having more than one tRNA (with a specific anti-codon) for a particular amino acid; and 'wobble' base-pairing, i.e. permitting non-standard base-pairing at the 3rd anti-codon position.
Source: RNAcentral